RNAcentral lists this ribosomal RNA (244 nucleotides) under Rhizopus sp. 4-53. RNAcentral's name for it is "partial 28S ribosomal RNA". The record is from RNAcentral. Lineage: Eukaryota; Fungi; Mucoromycota; Mucoromycetes; Mucorales; Rhizopodaceae.
AGCCAGACUGGCUUGUCUGUAAUCAAUCUAGGUUUCGUGCCUGGAUGCACUUGCAGACUAUUUGCCUGCCAACGACAAUUUUUUUUGAGUGUAAAAACUAUUGGAAAUGUGGCCAAUAUUUAUUUAUUGGUGUUAUAGUCCUUUAGAAAAUACCUUGAAUUGGAUUGAGGAACGCAGCGAAUGCUUCUCUUUNGAGGCAAAGUCUUUUAUUGGGAUUUACGGAUCAGACUGUGGCAUUGUCACA